GACGAACGCUGGCGGCGUGCUUAACACAUGCAAGUCGAGCGGUAAGGCCCUUUCGGGGGUACACGAGCGGCGAACGGGUGAGUAACACGUGGGUGACCUGCCCUCAGCUCUGGGAUAAGCCUGGGAAACUGGGUCUAAUACUGGAUAUGACUCCACGGUGCAUGUCGUGGGGUGGAAAGCCUUGUGCGGCUGAGGAUGGGCCCGCGGCCUAUCAGCUUGUUGGUGGGGUGANGGCCUACCAAGGCGACGACGGGUAGCCGGCCUGAGAGGGCGACCGGCCACACUGGGACUGAGACACGG
Molecule: ribosomal RNA, 300 nt
Filed under: uncultured bacterium
Lineage: Bacteria
Description: bacterial SSU rRNA
Rfam family: Bacterial small subunit ribosomal RNA
Source: RNAcentral